UGGGCAACCUGCCCCUAGCACUGGGAUAACCCCGGGGAAAACCGGGGCUAAUACCGGAUAUGACCUCGGAGGGCAUCUUCUGAGGUGGAAAUGUUCCGGCGGCUACGGAUGGGCCCGCGGCCUAUCAGCUUGUUGGUGAGGUAACGGCCCACCAAGGCGACGACGGGUAGCCGACCUGAGAGGGCGACCGGCCACACUGGGACUGAGACACGGCCCAGACUCCGUACGGGAGGCA
This 235-nucleotide ribosomal RNA is filed under the name uncultured bacterium. RNAcentral's name for it is "partial 16S ribosomal RNA". It matches the Rfam family "Bacterial small subunit ribosomal RNA", at positions 118 to 350 of the family's 1533-position model. The record is from RNAcentral.